Molecule: ribosomal RNA, 595 nt
Filed under: Dentimargo sp. MNHN-IM-2013-45628
Lineage: Eukaryota; Metazoa; Mollusca; Gastropoda; Neogastropoda; Marginellidae
Description: partial 12S ribosomal RNA
Source: RNAcentral
UACCAAUAUGGUUGAGUUAUACGGGUUGGUUAAAAGGUGGUUAGGUGAAAGGAGGUUCAACUAGUGAUAUGGAACUAUUAAUUUGUUGGUCAUUAUUAAUUUUGUAUAAAGAUAAAAUUGUAUAUAAUAGGGAUUAAAAGAUUUGGUCAAGUUUUGAAUUGAUGCCGCUAUGAUUUUGGGGGAGACUGGGAUUAGAUACCCCAUUAUUCUUUAUUUUAAAUUGCUAUGAGUAAGAUACCUGAAUACUACGAACAAUUGUGUUUAAAAUUUAAAGGGUUUGGCGGUGUUUAUAGACUCUUUGGGGGAACCUGUCUCUUAAUCGAUAGCCCACGUUAGACCUAACUUCCUUUUGUUAUUGCAGUUUGUAUACCGUCGUCGUCGGGCAACUUUUUAGAAUUAUAAGAGUUGGCUAAUUAAUUUUUUUAUUCGUAUGUCAGAUCAGGGUGCAGCCGAUAAGGGAGUGAGGAUGGGUUACAGUUAUUUAGUUUAUAAUUACGGAGGAUAUGGUUAAAAUUUAUUUGAAGGUGGACUCGAAAGUAAAACGUUAAAAGGAUUAAUAUUAUAGAAGCGUGUUGAAUAUAGCUCUUAAAUGUGC